AGAAAUUUAGGUUAACCCCAGACCAAGAGCCUUCAAAGCUCUAAGUAAGCCCACUAAGCUUAAUUUCUG
This 69-nucleotide transfer RNA is filed under the name Dipodomys merriami (Merriam's kangaroo rat). RNAcentral's name for it is "tRNA-Trp". The record is from RNAcentral. Lineage: Eukaryota; Metazoa; Chordata; Mammalia; Rodentia; Heteromyidae.